RNAcentral lists this ribosomal RNA (466 nucleotides) under uncultured bacterium. Its description in RNAcentral is "partial 16S ribosomal RNA". It matches the Rfam family "Bacterial small subunit ribosomal RNA", at positions 339 to 795 of the family's 1533-position model. The record is from RNAcentral.
CUACGGGCCGCAGCAGUGGGGAAUAUUGGACAAUGGGGGAAACCCUGAUCCAGCAAUGCCGCGUGUGUGAAGAAGGCCUGCGGGUUGUAAAGCACUUUCGGUUGGGAGGACUGCUUCUAGCACUAAUAUUGUUGGAAGUUGACGUUACCUUCAGAAGAAGCACCGGCUAACUCCGUGCAAGCAGCCGCGGGUAAUACGGAGGGUGCAAGCGUUAAUCGGAAUUACUGGGCGUAAAGCGCGCGUAGGCGGCUAGAUCAGUCGGGUGUGAAAGCCCCGGGCUUAACCUGGGAACUGCAUCCGAUACUGUCUAGCUUGAGUGCAGGAGAGGAGAGUGGAAUUCCACAUGUAGCGGUGAAAUGCGUAGAUAUGUGGAGGAACACCAAUGGCGAAGGCAGCUCUCUGGCCUGAUACUGACGCUGAGGUGCGAAAGCGUGGGGAGCAAACAGGAUUAGAUACCCGUGUAGUC